This 947-nucleotide long non-coding RNA is filed under the name Oryctolagus cuniculus (rabbit). RNAcentral describes it as "lncRNA (ENSOCUG00000033124.1)". Lineage: Eukaryota; Metazoa; Chordata; Mammalia; Lagomorpha; Leporidae. The record is from RNAcentral.
GAAUCUUUAAAAAAAGAUUUAGCAAGAAAUGACAGAAAUGAAUUCAUUUCAGUGAAAACCAAAAAUGAAUAGCAAUGAACAAAAGAAAAAGCUCAGACAGGAUAUGAAAAAACUCUUGAAGACAUUUCUUCUGCCUUCUCUGCAAACAGGCUCAUUCUCCUUUCACAGAUAAUCUUCCUCUUCUCCCUCCUCCAGAGGAUAGAAAAUUAUCCCCUGCCUUCCAAGCCUACACAGCACAUAUAAAUUCCCUACCAUUUAUCUGGAUAGACUGCAGGGGAAACCCUGAGACUCAAUUUCCAGGGGACAUAAUCUGAUUGUUCCACCCCACUUCAGGUGUUCACCUGGUCCAAUCAGUUACAAGCAUGGAAUUUAUGUGGUCACUUAUUUUAAAUAUGGCUGUCUGGGGCACACCUCUAUGAACUGGGGUGAUUUGUAUGGAAAAGAAGAGAUGAACAUAUGCAACUACUGGCAUUCGAGUAGGCUACAUUCUCUAAAACUUGUCACUAUUUAAAUGAAGACAUUUUUCCUGCAUGUUCCACUCCUUCGUGUCAGAUCUCAGCACCAUUUCUCCUGCUAACUAGUUUAGCUGGAAAUUUCUCCUUUUGAAGGAUAGACAAUAGGUAACCAUAGCAACUGGUUGUACAGGUAAUUGCUAUGAAACAUUGCCCAGGGGUUAGAAAGCCAUGGAGACACUCAUCCCUACAUUCAGCUAAGGCAUCAGUUCACAACCAAGAUUUUGGGAAACAAAUCAUUGAUAAGCACAUAAAUCCUGGAGACAGUGCUUUCCUUAUCUCUUGCCACAUGAUGUCCUGUCCCACAUCAGGACUUUGCCAGCAAAAAGACAAUCAUUAGAAGCUGAACCAAAGGAACCACUGCAUCUUGGACUUUAAACCUCCAGAACUGAGAGGCAAAAUAAAGCUCUUUGGUUUACAAAGUAACCUGCCUAA